UAGAGGAAGUAAAAGUCGUAACAAGGUCUCCGUUGGUGAACCAGCGGAGGGAUCAUUACCGAGUUUACAACUCCCAAACCCCUGUGAACAUACCAAUUGUUGCCUCGGCGGAUCAGCCCGCUCCCGGUAAAACGGGACGGCCCGCCAGAGGACCCCUAAACUCUGUUUCUAUAUGUAACUUCUGAGUAAAACCAUAAAUAAAUCAAAACUUUCAACAACGGAUCUCUUGGUUCUGGCAUCGAUGAAGAACGCAGCAAAAUGCGAUAAGUAAUGUGAAUUGCAGAAUUCAGUGAAUCAUCGAAUCUUUGAACGCACAUUGCGCCCGCCAGUAUUCUGGCGGGCAUGCCUGUUCGAGCGUCAUUUCAACCCUCAAGCCCAGCUUGGUGUUGGGACUCGCGAGUUAAACCGCGUUCCCCAAAUUGAUUGGCGGUCACGUCGAGCUUCCAUAGCGUAGUAGUAAAACCCUCGUUACUGGUAAUCGUCGCGGCCACGCCGUUAAACCCCAACUUCUGAAUGUUGACCUCGGAUCA
RNAcentral lists this ribosomal RNA (530 nucleotides) under fungal endophyte sp. P1813C. RNAcentral describes it as "eukaryotic LSU rRNA". The stretch from base 207 to 360 matches the Rfam family "5.8S ribosomal RNA". The record is from RNAcentral. Lineage: Eukaryota; Fungi.